CAACUUCCUAUAAUUCAUGCAUAUCCUCUAGCUAGUGACAGUUCUUGUAGGAAUAUACUCAUUUUUCUCAUUGCCAAUGACUGCCAUGCCACCCUUCUUUAGAACACAUUGAAUAGAACUCACCCACACAGUAUCACAGAUAGGGUGGAUAAUCCCAUCAUAUAACCACUUUAUAAUCUCCUUUCUGACCACGUCUUUCAUGACGGGGUUUAACCUUCUUUGGCUCUCAAUACUAUUCUUGGAGUUAUCUUCUAAUAGAAUCCUAUGUAUGUAUACAAUAGGACUAAUGUCUUUAAUAUCAUAUAUUUUCCAAGCAAUAGCCUUCUUGU
RNAcentral lists this long non-coding RNA (329 nucleotides) under Lathyrus oleraceus (garden pea). RNAcentral's name for it is "Pisum sativum (pea) long non-coding RNA (PSAT_LNC025214)". Lineage: Eukaryota; Viridiplantae; Streptophyta; Magnoliopsida; Fabales; Fabaceae. The record is from RNAcentral.